This 398-nucleotide ribosomal RNA is filed under the name uncultured bacterium. RNAcentral's name for it is "bacterial SSU rRNA". It matches the Rfam family "Bacterial small subunit ribosomal RNA", at positions 28 to 419 of the family's 1533-position model. The record is from RNAcentral.
GACGAACGCUGACGGUGUGCUUUAGACAUGCAAGUCGAGCGAGAAAGCCCUUCGGGGUUAGUAAAGCGGCGAACGGGUGAGUAACACGUGGGCAAUCUGCCCCUCGCAGGGGGACAACCGGGGGAAACUCCGGCUAAUACCCCGUAAGUUUCCAGAGUCGCAUGGCUUUGGAAAGAAAGGUAGCUUCGGCCAUCCGGCGAGGGAUGAGCCCGCGGUACAUUAGCUAGUUGGGUGGGGUAACGGCCUACCAAGGCGCGANGUAUAGCUGGUCUGAGAGGAUGAUCAGCCACACUGGGACUGAGACACGGCCCAGACUCCUACGGGAGGCAGCAGUCGGGAAUCUUGCACAAUGGGCGAAAGCCUGAUGCAGCAACACCGUGUGAGCGAUGAAGGCCCUA